AGUGAACGCUGGCGGUAGGCCUAACACAUGCAAGUCGAACGGCAGCACAGUAAGAGCUUGCUCUUACGGGUGGCGAGUGGCGGACGGGUGAGGAAUACAUCGGAAUCUACUUUUUCGUGGGGGAUAACGUAGGGAAACUUACGCUAAUACCGCAUACGACCUACGGGUGAAAGCAGGGGAUCUUCGGACCUUGCGCGAUUGAAUGAGCCGAUGUCGGAUUAGCUAGUUGGCGGGGUAAAGGCCCACCAAGGCGACGAUCCGUAGCUGGUCUGAGAGGAUGGUCAGCCACACUGGAACUUAGACACGGUCCAGGCUCCUACGGGAGGCAGCAGUGGGGAAUAUGGGACAAUGGGGGCAAGCCUGAUCCAGCCAGACCGCGUGGGUGAAGAAGGCGUUCGGGUUGUAAAGCCCUUUUGUUGGGAAAGAAAAGCAGCAGGUUGAUACCCCGCUGUUCUGACGGUACCCAAAGAAUAAGCACCGGCUAACUUCGUG
Molecule: ribosomal RNA, 492 nt
Filed under: uncultured bacterium
Lineage: Bacteria
Description: partial 16S ribosomal RNA
Rfam family: Bacterial small subunit ribosomal RNA
Source: RNAcentral